UACGAAGGGGGCUAGCGUUGCUCGGAAUCACUGGGCGUAAAGCGCACGUAGUCGGUUUGCUAAGUCAGGUGUGAAAUCCUGGAGCUCAACUCCAGAACUGCCUUUGAUACUGGCGAUCUCGAGUCCGGGAGAGGUGAGUGGAACUGCGAGUGUAGAGGUGAAAUUCGUAGAUAUUCGCAAGAACACCAGUGGCGAAGGCGGCUCACUGGCCCGGUACUGACGCUGAGGUGCGAAAGCGUGGGGAGCAAACAGG
Molecule: ribosomal RNA, 253 nt
Filed under: uncultured bacterium
Lineage: Bacteria
Description: partial 16S ribosomal RNA
Rfam family: Bacterial small subunit ribosomal RNA
Source: RNAcentral